CCGAGUUAUACAACUCAUCAGCCCUGUGAACAUACCUAUAACGUUGCCUCGGCGGGAACAGACGGCCCCGUAACACGGGCCGCCCCCGCCAGAGGACCCCCUAACUCUGUUUCUAUAAUGUUUCUUCUGAGUAAACAAGCAAAUAAAUUA
This 150-nucleotide unclassified non-coding RNA is filed under the name soil metagenome. Its description in RNAcentral is "partial internal transcribed spacer 1". The record is from RNAcentral.